Molecule: ribosomal RNA, 744 nt
Filed under: Salmonella enterica subsp. enterica serovar Brandenburg
Lineage: Bacteria; Pseudomonadati; Pseudomonadota; Gammaproteobacteria; Enterobacterales; Enterobacteriaceae
Description: partial 23S ribosomal RNA
Rfam family: Bacterial large subunit ribosomal RNA
Source: RNAcentral
AUGCAGUGUACCCGCGGCAAGACGGAAAGACCCCGUGAACCUUUACUAUAGCUUGACACUGAACAUUGAGCCUUGAUGUGUAGGAUAGGUGGGAGGCUUUGAAGUGUGGACGCCAGUCUGCAUGGAGCCGGCCUUGAAAUACCACCCUUUAAUGUUUGAUGUUCUAACGUGGACCCGUGAUCCGGGUUGCGGACAGUGUCUGGUGGGUAGUUUGACUGGGGCGGUCUCCUCCUAAAGAGUAACGGAGGAGCACGAAGGUUGGCUAAUCCUGGUCGGACAUCAGGAGGUUAGUGCAAUGGCAUAAGCCAGCUUGACUGCGAGCGUGACGGCGCGAGCAGGUGCGAAAGCAGGUCAUAGUGAUCCGGUGGUUCUGAAUGGAAGGGCCAUCGCUCAACGGAUAAAAGGUACUCCGGGGAUAACAGGCUGAUACCGCCCAAGAGUUCAUAUCGACGGCGGUGUUUGGCACCUCGAUGUCGGCUCAUCACAUCCUGGGGCUGAAGUAGGUCCCAAGGGUAUGGCUGUUCGCCAUUUAAAGUGGUACGCGAGCUGGGUUUAGAACGUCGUGAGACAGUUCGGUCCCUAUCUGCCGUGGGCGCUGGAGAACUGAGGGGGGCUGCUCCUAGUACGAGAGGACCGGAGUGGACGCAUCACUGGUGUUCGGGUUGUCAUGCCAAUGGCACUGCCCGGUAGCUAAAUGCGGAAGAGAUAAGUGCUGAAAGCAUCUAAGCACGAAACUUGCCCCGA